UUUGGACAGAGUUAUUGGGGGGAGAAUGCGUGAAAAACUAGGGUUCUUCUCAUUUUUCCAUUUUUCAAAGAAGCUAAGUUUCGAUUUUUGGUUGCAAAAAAUGGAGAUGGUUUCCAUUCUGCGCGACUGAAGUUUGGUUGUGUGUUCAUCGCAAAAUUGAAUCAAGGUGUCGAUUCGAGUUUCUGGGGUUCCUUUGCGGUCGAAUUAUGGUUCGUGAUUCUUGUUGCUGCUGUUUUGCUUGUUCAUUUCAAAACUUCAUCGGAAAGUCAGUUUGUAAUCGCAUACAAACAAAUUCAAUCAGAAGCUUUCCACAUUCAGGUUCAUUUCCUUACUCUUUUGGUUCUGUUUUUUGCAGGUUUUGAACGUUGAUUGAUUGCGGAUGAAUUCUCUUCGAUGUAAAUGUGUUCUGUUCUGUCGUUAUGUUAGAAGUAUAUUUUAACUUCGAAUUUGUUUGUCUCCUACUACUAAAGAAUUGAUUACAAGGCUUCAAGAAAUCGAAACAGCUGAUAUAAUUCUUUGUAUAGUUCCCUGAAUCGAAUAGCCUGUUUGUGAAGCUUUGAAAGGAUUGAGCUAAUUGAGUAUUCUGUGAUUUUCUUGGAAUCAUGUUUCGUUUAUGUCAACUGUGUGUUCAUCAAAUUCUUCAGGUGAAAUCUCUUAGACGGUAAACGAGCGUGAACUAUUUGGAUCUCUGCUUGUUUUAAUUAGUGUGAUAGAUUAAUAUCGAAGUAUUGGACCUAAUCUUGAUGGAAUUGUAUUCCAUACGUUGUUCUUGUUGGUGUUUUUCUUGAUGCAAAGUUCAUUAGGUUCAGUUAUCUUGAGGCAAGCGUGAUAUUUACUGGCAUGCUCUUUUCACUCUCGG
This 859-nucleotide long non-coding RNA is filed under the name Nicotiana tabacum (common tobacco). RNAcentral describes it as "long non-coding RNA (NTAB_LNC006330)". The record is from RNAcentral. Lineage: Eukaryota; Viridiplantae; Streptophyta; Magnoliopsida; Solanales; Solanaceae.